GACGAACGCUGGCGGCGUGCUUAACACAUGCAAGUCGAACGGAAAGGCCCUGCUUUUGUGGGGUGCUCGAGUGGCGAACGGGUGAGUAACACGUGAGUAACCUGCCCUUGACUUUGGGAUAACUUCAGGAAACUGGGGCUAAUACCGGAUAGGAGCUCCUGCUGCACGGUGGGGGUUGGAAAGUUUCGGCGGUUGGGGAUGGACUCGCGGCUUAUCAGCUUGUUGGUGGGGUAGUGGCUUACCAAGGCUUUGACGGGUAGCCGGCCUGAGAGGGUGACCGGCCACAGUGGGACUGAGAUACGGCCCAGACUCCUACGGGAGGCAGCAGUGGGGAAUAUUGCACAAUGGGCGGAAGCCUGAUGCAGCAACGCCGCGUGCGGGAUGACGGCCUUCGGGUUGUAAACCGCUUUCGCCUGUGACGAAGCGUGAGUGACGGUAAUGGGUAAAGAAGCACCGGCUAACUACGUG
This 468-nucleotide ribosomal RNA is filed under the name uncultured bacterium. Its description in RNAcentral is "partial 16S ribosomal RNA". It matches the Rfam family "Bacterial small subunit ribosomal RNA", at positions 28 to 507 of the family's 1533-position model. The record is from RNAcentral.